Molecule: ribosomal RNA, 301 nt
Filed under: uncultured bacterium
Lineage: Bacteria
Description: partial 16S ribosomal RNA
Rfam family: Bacterial small subunit ribosomal RNA
Source: RNAcentral
CAGCCGCCGCGGGAAUACGAAGGGUGCAAGCGUUAAUCGGAAUUACUGGGCGUAAAGCGUGCGUAGGCGGUUUGUUAAGUCUGUUGUGAAAUCCCCGGGCUCAACCUGGGAAUGGCAAUGGAUACUGGCAAGCUAGAGUGUGUCAGAGGAUGGUGGAAUUCCCGGUGUAGCGGUGAAAUGCGUAGAGAUCGGGAGGAACAUCAGUGGCGAAGGCGGCCAUCUGGGACAACACUGACGCUGAGGCACGAAAGCGUGGGGAGCAAACAGGAUUAGAUACCCUAGUCCCUGUCUCUUAUACACA